GACGAACGCUGGCGGCGUGCCUAAUACAUGCAAGUAGAACGCUGAAGAGAGGAGCUUACUCUUCUUGGAUGAGUUGCGAACGGGUGAGUAACGCGUAGGUAACCUGCCUUGUAGCGGGGGAUAACUAUUGGAAACGAUAGCUAAUACCGCAUAACAAUGGAUGACACAUGUCAUUUAUUUGAAAGGGGCAAUUGCUCCACUACAAGAUGGACCUGCGUUGUAUUAGCUAGUAGGUGAGGUAAUGGCUCACCUAGGCGACGAUACAUAGCCGACCUGAGAGGGUGAUCGGCCACACUGGGACUGGGACACGGCCCAGACUCCUACGGGAGGCAGCAGUAGAGAAUCUUCGGCAAUGGGGGCAACCCUGACCGAGCAACGCCGCGUGAGUGAAGAAGGUUUUCGGAUCGUAAAGCUCUGUUGUAAGUCAAGAACGGGUGUGAGAGUGGAAAGUUCACACUGUGGCGGUAGCUUACCAGAAAGGGACGGCUAACUAC
Molecule: ribosomal RNA, 494 nt
Filed under: uncultured bacterium
Lineage: Bacteria
Description: partial 16S ribosomal RNA
Rfam family: Bacterial small subunit ribosomal RNA
Source: RNAcentral